UUUCAGCUUAUUCCAUAACCUCUCCUCAUAAUAUAAAGCCCCUUCUUGUACAAUAUACACCAAUCGGCCACCACCCUCACAUGGAUUAUACCUCCUGAUAAUGGAACACCUUUUCACUUAACCGAAGCUCGCCGAAAAGAUCGAGACGCGCCGGAGUCGAAGAAGAUCGGAGUUCGCCGGAGACGCCCGAACUCGCGAUGAAAUCGAUAAUCGCUCUGUUCGUUCUUUUGGAUUUUCCAAUCCUUCUCUCGCGCGUUAUUUCAAGAAAUCUCUAAACGCAAC
This 282-nucleotide long non-coding RNA is filed under the name Helianthus annuus (common sunflower). Its description in RNAcentral is "sRNA HanXRQr2_Chr06g0247071". Lineage: Eukaryota; Viridiplantae; Streptophyta; Magnoliopsida; Asterales; Asteraceae. The record is from RNAcentral.